This 377-nucleotide ribosomal RNA is filed under the name uncultured bacterium. RNAcentral describes it as "bacterial SSU rRNA". It matches the Rfam family "Bacterial small subunit ribosomal RNA", at positions 523 to 898 of the family's 1533-position model. The record is from RNAcentral.
AUACGUAGGGGGCGAGCGUUGUCCGGAAUUACUGGGCGUAAAGGGUGCGUAGGCGGCCGAUUAAGUUGGAUGUGAAAUACCCGGGCUUAACCUGGGGGGUGCAUCCAAUACUGGUUGGCUAGAGUGCAGGAGAGGGAAGCGGAAUUCCUAGUGUAGCGGUGAAAUGCGUAGAUAUUAGGAGGAACACCAGUGGCGAAGGCGGCUUUCUGGACUGUAACUGACGCUGAUGCACGAAAGCGUGGGGAGCAAACAGGAUUAGAUACCCUGGUAGUCCACGCUGUAAACGAUGAAUACUAGGUGUAGGGGGUAUCAACUCCCCCUGUGCCGGAGCUAACGCAAUAAGUAUUCCGCCUGGGGAGUACGGCCGCAAGGUUGAA